UCCUCAUUUGUUUCUCUAAGCCGUCAUCUACCAAAACCCUAGCAUCGCUUCGUUUCCUCUUCAAGAAUCUCCCUACCCAGCUGCAUUUCUUUUUUUCUUUUUAUCAAAAAACUGAGAACAAUCGUAUAGCCAUCGUAUUUGGUGUUCUGCUUUUGUUUUCAUGGAAUUUUCUUUUGAAGGUAUUUUUAUGGUUCGUUAUUCAAAGGGGUAUGGAAGAUGAUCUAUUAUCUCGCAGUCAAUCAAGCUGAAUACCAGAUAAACUCAAUCGAUGGCGUUAACUUUCUACAGAAUUCAUAUCCAGAAAGUGGCUUUUGUGAUCAUUUGAGGUUUAUGUUCGCGUACGUGGUUGUGUCUCCAUCUCUGGACACUCUUGAUUUCCAAGCUGGUGUUACAAAGGGCUUUUGUAAAGUGUAGAGGACUUGGUGGGUUUGUUGCUUGCAAUAGUCUUUCACAAAGGAACGAUGAUCCAACCAAAGCAUCACACGUCCUUGGGAUGUGAUACAAUUUUAUGGGGACCAAGUUUAGAGUUUAUGAUGCACAACCUGUUAAUGCUGCAAUUUUAGCAACGAAAUGUCAUUCCUCGAGGAUGGGGAGCGUCAAACGUGUAUCACCUAAGUCCCUGCUGGGAAUUAUCCAAUUUCCAACAUUUCAUAUGAAGUAAAUAACCCGGGAACCAGGGUGCAAAGUGUGCGAGCUGGGGGCGAGUUGGGUAAUGGGUCAAAACUGGUCGGGUCAGGUUUGGUUGACCCAUAACUUUUAUAUAUAACAUGUAGUUUCUACUUUAAUUACAAAAUCGUGUUUUUUCAUGAUAUUUGCUUUAAGCCAGGUUAUUUAUUUUGAUAAUUAUCUGAACAUGGCAAUGAUAGCAUAUCUUGAAGCCUAUGAAGGUCUUUGCCGGAACUAUCCUUACAUUGCUGAAUAAGAAGAGGGAGUAAGGCACCUAAUGAAAAUCCUUGCAGCCACUAGAAAGUAUUGACCCGUCUUAUUAUUUUCGGAUUUAUAUGCCUUUGUCAUAAAGAGACGACCAGCGGACAAGAUAAGCUUCACUUCAUCAUUCAGAGUUUAUUGGAACUAGCAACUCCACAAAAACACUGCUGCAAAGUCAAAACUAUAAUGUAAGCUGGUACGCGCAAACUGAUCAGACUUACUGUUUGUAUUGCAGUUCAAAUGGGUUUGGGACAUGUGAUGGUGGGCGACAACUCGAUUUAAAGUCGCAAGAGGGAAGAGGCAAUCUACGGAGGGCUUCUUUUAAUAAAAGAAGCGUUCCAGUACUAACGUAAAUAACGUUCGAGGGGCCGAAAAAGUUUUGGUGACGGUUUGUGAUACUUAUUUUGUGAGUACAGAAGUUAAAGCUGGUAAAAUUCCAUUGAUUAUUAGUGAGAGGAUUAAAAAGCAUAGAGUGUUGAUGAAUGAUGACAAACGACAGCUACUUAAGGCUACUUCAAAGAAGGUGAUAACAAGGGAAGAGUGGGAGAAAAAGCGUAGUGAUGUUAAAAUUAAAAAAGAAGACAUGAACAAGUUGGUUAUGAAUUUUCUUUUCACUGAAGGAUAUGUUGAUGCAGCAGAAAAGUUCUGAAUGGAAUCUGGCACCGAGCCAGAUAUAGACCUUGCAACCAUUACAGAUCGUAUGGCUGUUAUGAAAGAUGUACAGUCGGGGAACGUUGAAGACGCAAUUGAAAAAGUUAGUGAUUUGAACCCUGAGGAUUUUAACACGAAAAAUAAUUGAUAUACAAUGAUUGCAAAGAAAUUCCAAAAAAAAACCCGACACUGAAAACAUAUGUGGGAUGUGAAGAAAUUUAAGGUGGGAUCAAAGGGGCUAGCGGUAUCCGCCAUUGGAUUUGGAUGUACGGGCAUGCCCGGAGGAUACGGCCUUGCAAAACCUGAACAAGACGUGAUUCCAACUCAUCCAUUUCGCCAUUAACUCCGACGUCACUCAACUCGAUACUUCUGACGUGAACGGGUAGCGUUAGGCAACCCAAAAUCUAUCAUUAUCAUGUUCGGGCACUGUCAAGAAUGUCCAGAGUUGCUGCCCCUUGUGUGAUAUUUGACUGAUUUUGUGUGUGUGAAUGCAUGACUGGUACAGGCAUUGAACGGGGUGACAAGAGAGAUGUUCAACUGGCUACAAAAUUUGGGAUAAAAUAUGGGGAGAGUAUGGGUGAGGUGGAAAUUCAUGGUGAACUAUAGUACGUUAGGGCUUUUGUGAAGCUAACUUGAAGCGGCUUGAUGUUGAUUACAUUGAUAUUUACUAUGUUCAUCACAUUGAUACGAAAGUCCCUGUCAAACUCACAUUCGUCUAUUAUUUCAUUCAUUUUAAUUGAAAUCAUAGUUGUAAUGCAUUUGAAUUUGUAAUAAUCAGGUAAAGGUUGAAUGAUUUAAUAAUUGAAGUAUUUUGAUUAUACUGGGUCAAAAUUAUCAGCAUUGAUCAACUAAUAGUGUAAUUCUAAUUGAAGAGUACAGGAAAACGGCGUGGUUGAAGAUCUGGUAAAAGGUUUCUUUUGUUUGUGUAAAUUGAUAUGGAAUGACGCUUUUGCCACUCAUAAAAUUUGGCAUGUGACAUUGAGUUAACAAGGCUCUUAUUGAUAUGGAGUAAAAUUGCAUUGAAUGAAAACCUUUGUGUAUUUUUUGCAAUAGGUUUCAUAUUUGUAAAAAGCAACAAUUUGGUAUAAACCACAAGGACUAAAACCGCAAUUUACUCAUUUUUUCCCUAGAUUACAAGAAUCAAAUGAUAGGUGUUGGGAAUCGAAAAUACAACAAUCCAACAUGGAGCCAUCUGCUAUUACUAAGACCUUUCUCAUGCCUUGCGUCUUCCUACAAUGGCAUGAUAACAUGGAUGAGCUGGAAAUAAAGAAAAUGGAAAAGGCAUAAGAAGCCUACAUGGAUGAGCUGGAAAUAAAGAAAAUGAAAGAGGCACAAGAAGCCUACAAGGCUGCAAUUGCAACUACAAAAGAGAAGCAAGAUGACGAGUUGAUCCCAAUAGCUACCAAUCCCGGCUUGCAUCUGCAAUAUUUUGUUUUAAAAAGUUGGUUGGUCUGAAUUUCAAUAGCACAUCAAAUCAUUUUUAUCGCCAAUGUUGGGCUAGCCCACUUGGUAGCCACUUUCUGAUAUAGAGUAUGGAAUCUUAAAAUAUGUUAAUAUUUUAAUUAUUUAGUUUUUAGGCAAGUAUAAUGUUUGAUAGUUGUUAUAUUAAAGUUAUGUUGA
Helianthus annuus (common sunflower) is the source of this 3198-nucleotide long non-coding RNA. RefSeq lists it as uncharacterized. Lineage: Eukaryota; Viridiplantae; Streptophyta; Magnoliopsida; Asterales; Asteraceae. The transcript has 12 exons. The record is from RefSeq and is a predicted model, not a curated record.